RNAcentral lists this unclassified non-coding RNA (294 nucleotides) under uncultured fungus. RNAcentral describes it as "partial contains small subunit ribosomal RNA, internal transcribed spacer 1, and 5.8S ribosomal RNA". The stretch from base 1 to 73 matches the Rfam family "Eukaryotic small subunit ribosomal RNA", at positions 1759 to 1831 of the family's 1831-position model. The record is from RNAcentral. Lineage: Eukaryota; Fungi.
ACAAACUUGGUCAUUUAGAGGAAGUAAAAGUCGUAACAAGGUUUCCGUAGGUGAACCUGCGGAAGGAUCAUUCAUAAUAGAGUAAAUUUUAUGGUGCUCUAAAAAAAUCCCAUAUCCACCUUGUGUGCAAUGUUAUUCUCUUUUGGGUUUUCCCAAGAUGAGAAAUUUUUAUAUCAACACCUUUUUAAAAUUAUAUUGUCUGAAACAUGUUACGAAUAUGUAUUUAUUUACUUAAUUCAAAACACAACUUUCAACAACGGAUCUCUUGGCUCUCGCAUCGAUGAAGAACGCAGC